Molecule: signal recognition particle RNA, 99 nt
Filed under: Bacteroidota bacterium
Lineage: Bacteria; Pseudomonadati; Bacteroidota
Description: Bacteroidetes bacterium signal recognition particle sRNA small type
Rfam family: Bacteroidales small SRP
About the family: The non-coding component of the signal recognition particle in Bacteroides
Source: RNAcentral
UGGUAAGCCCUGUACGACCAGCUCCCAGUUACAUUCCCAGGGUCGGAAGGCAGCAAGCUUGGAUUGGUUGAGCGGUGCGAUACAGGUUGCUUACCAUUU